UGCAACGAGCGCAACCCUCGCCCUUAGUUGCCAUCAUUCAGUUGGGCACUUUAAGGGGGACUGCCGGUGAUAAGCCGCGAGGAAGGUGGGGAUGACGUCAAGUCCUCAUGGCCCUUACAGGUUGGGCUACACACGUGCUACAAUGGCGGUGACAGUGGGACGCAAUGGAGCAAUCCUGCGCAAAUCUCAAAAAGCCGUCUCAGUUCGGAUUGCACUCUGCAACUCGAGUGCAUGAAGUUGGAAUCGCUAGUAAUCGCAGAUCAGCACGCUGCGGUGAAUACGUUCCCGGGCCUUGUACACACCGCCCGUCACACCAUGGGAGUUGGUUUUACCUGAAGGCGGUGCGCUAACCCGCAAGGGAGGCAGCCGACCACGGUAGGAUCAGCGACUGGGGUGAAGUCGUAACAAGGUAACCGUA
This 418-nucleotide ribosomal RNA is filed under the name uncultured bacterium. RNAcentral's name for it is "bacterial SSU rRNA". It matches the Rfam family "Bacterial small subunit ribosomal RNA", at positions 1088 to 1504 of the family's 1533-position model. The record is from RNAcentral.